CCUCCUUUUUCCCGCUUUCCUCGGAAUUACUGGGCGUAAAGCGUGCGUAGGUGGUUUGUUAAGUCUGUUGUGAAAGCCCCGGGCUCAACCUGGGAAUGGCAAUGGAUACUGGCAAGCUAGAGUGCGGUAGAGGGUAGUGGAAUUCCCGGUGUAGCGGUGAAAUGCGUAGAGAUCGGGAGGAACACCAGUGGCGAAGGCGGCUACCUGGACCAGCACUGACACUGAGGCACGAAAGCCAGGGGAGCGAACGGGA
Molecule: ribosomal RNA, 253 nt
Filed under: uncultured prokaryote
Description: partial 16S ribosomal RNA
Rfam family: Bacterial small subunit ribosomal RNA
Source: RNAcentral